Molecule: non-coding RNA, 85 nt
Organism: Poronia punctata
Lineage: Eukaryota; Fungi; Ascomycota; Sordariomycetes; Xylariales; Xylariaceae
Source: the annotation of a GenBank genome assembly
UCUCUCAUAGUGUAGUGGUUUAGCACGUAGGAUUUUGAUUCAUACCAAACUUCCUGAGUCCCCGGUUCGAUCCCGGGUGAGAGAU